AGACUUCACUAACGAUGCCAACCAGCGAUUAGCCUGAGUUCCUUAAAUGACUCGGCUAGCAGCUUCCGGGAAACCAAAGUGUUUCGGUUCCGGGGGAAGUAUGGUUGCAAAGCUGAAACUUAAAGGAAUUGACGGAAGGGCACCACCAGGAGUGGAGCCUGCGGCUUAAUUUGACUCAACACGGGAAAACUUACCCGGCCCGGACACUGGAAGGAUUGACAGACUGAGAGCUCUUUCUUAAUUCGGUGGGUGGUGGUGCAUGGCCGUUCUUAGUUGGUGGAGCGAUUUGUCUGGUUAAUUCCGAUAACGAACGAGACUCUGGCCUAUUAAAUAGUCGGUAUAUCCAGAAAAGUUUACCGUACUUCUUAGAGGGACAAACGGCGUCUAGCCGCGUGAAAUAGAGCAAUAACAGGUCUGUGAUGCCCUUAGAUGUCCGGGGCUGCACGCGCGCUACACUGAAAGAAUCAGUAUGCGCUUUAACCUAGUCCGGAAGGAUUGGGUAACCCGAGCAAAUUCUUUCGUGCUUGGGAUAGGGAAUUGCAAUUAUUUCCCUUAAACGAGGAAUUCCCAGUAAAUGCGGGUCAUAAGCUCGCGUUGAUUACGUCCCUGCCCUUUGUACACACCGCCCGUCGCUACUACCGAUUGGAUGACUUAGUGAGGUCUUAGGACCGACGUAAAGGAGCUUUCGCGAGUUCUUUUUCGUUGGAAAUUUGAUCGAACUACGUUAUCUAGAGGAAGUAAAAGUCGUAACAAGGUUUCCGUAGUGAACCUGCGGAAGGAUC
RNAcentral lists this ribosomal RNA (782 nucleotides) under uncultured eukaryote. RNAcentral describes it as "SSU rRNA". It matches the Rfam family "Eukaryotic small subunit ribosomal RNA", at positions 1022 to 1827 of the family's 1831-position model. The record is from RNAcentral.